This 346-nucleotide ribosomal RNA is filed under the name uncultured bacterium. RNAcentral's name for it is "bacterial SSU rRNA". It matches the Rfam family "Bacterial small subunit ribosomal RNA", at positions 1 to 334 of the family's 1533-position model. The record is from RNAcentral.
GUACGCUAUUCAGAGUUUGAUCCUGGCUCAGGAUGAACGCUAGCUACAGGCUUAACACAUGCAAGUCGAGGGGCAGCAUGAACAUAGCUUGCUAUGUUUGAUGGCGACCGGCGCACGGGUACGUAACACGUAUCCAAUCUGCCCGUUACUCGGGGAUAGCCUUCUGAAAGGAAGAUUAAUACCCGAUGGCAUGUAUUUCCGGCAUCGGAGAUACAUUAAAGAUUAAUCGGUAACGGAUGAGGAUGCGUACGAUUAGCUAGUUGGCGGGGUAACGGCCCACCAAGGCAACGAUCGUUAGGGGUUCUGAGAGGAAGGUCCCCCACACUGGAACUGAGACACGGUCCAG